CACGUAGGGUGCGAGCGUUGUCCGGAAUUAUUGGGCGUAAAGAGCUCGUAGGCGGUGUGUCGCGUCGGCCGUGAAAACCUGCAGCUUAACUGUGGGCUUGCGGUCGAUACGGGCAUCACUGGAGUUCGGCAGGGGAGACUGGAAUUCCUGGUGUAGCGGUGAAAUGCGUAGAUAUCGAGAGGAACACCUGCGGCGAAGGCGGGUUGCUGGGCUGAUACUGACGCUGAGGCGCGAAAGCCAGGGGAGCGAACGGG
This 254-nucleotide ribosomal RNA is filed under the name uncultured bacterium. RNAcentral describes it as "partial 16S ribosomal RNA". It matches the Rfam family "Bacterial small subunit ribosomal RNA", at positions 524 to 776 of the family's 1533-position model. The record is from RNAcentral.